UGAGGAAUAUUGGACAAUGGGCGCAAGCCUGAUCCAGCCAUGCCGCGUGCAGGAUGACGGUCCUAUGGAUUGUAAACUGCUUUUGUACAGGAAGAAACAGUUCUACGUGUAGAACCUUGACGGUACUGUAAGAAUAAGGAUCGGCUAACUCCGUGCCAGCAGCCGCGGUAAUACGGAGGAUCCAAGCGUUAUCCGGAAUCAUUGGGUUUAAAGGGUCCGUAGGCGGUUAGAUAAGUCAGUGGUGAAAGCCCAUCGCUCAACGGUGGAACGGCCAUUGAUACUGUCUGACUUGAAUUAUUAGGAAGUAACUAGAAUAUGUAGUGUAGCGGUGAAAUGCGUAGAUAUCAAGAGGAACACCUGAGGUGAAGACGGGUUGCUGGGUUGACACUGAUGGACGAAAGCGUGGGUAGCGAACAGGAUUAGAUACCCCAGUAGUCCCUGAGCGGGCUGGCAAGGCGCAU
This 461-nucleotide ribosomal RNA is filed under the name uncultured bacterium. RNAcentral describes it as "bacterial SSU rRNA". It matches the Rfam family "Bacterial small subunit ribosomal RNA", at positions 355 to 825 of the family's 1533-position model. The record is from RNAcentral.